GCGUCAAUGGUGUAAUGGUUUAGCAUUAUUGCCUUCCAAGCAAUAGAUUCCCGGUUCAAUUUCGUGGUUGUCGCA
Molecule: transfer RNA, 75 nt
Filed under: Verticillium alfalfae VaMs.102
Lineage: Eukaryota; Fungi; Ascomycota; Sordariomycetes; Glomerellales; Plectosphaerellaceae
Description: tRNA-Gly (TCC) (tRNA-Gly-TCC-3-1)
Rfam family: tRNA
About the family: Transfer RNA (tRNA) molecules are approximately 80 nucleotides in length. Their secondary structure includes four short double-helical elements and three loops (D, anti-codon, and T loops). Further hydrogen bonds mediate the characteristic L-shaped molecular structure. tRNAs have two regions of fundamental functional importance: the anti-codon, which is responsible for specific mRNA codon recognition, and the 3' end, to which the tRNAs corresponding amino acid is attached (by aminoacyl-tRNA synthetases). tRNAs cope with the degeneracy of the genetic code in two manners: having more than one tRNA (with a specific anti-codon) for a particular amino acid; and 'wobble' base-pairing, i.e. permitting non-standard base-pairing at the 3rd anti-codon position.
Source: Rfam by way of RNAcentral